RNAcentral lists this long non-coding RNA (4377 nucleotides) under Homo sapiens (human). RNAcentral describes it as "non-protein coding lnc-IDNK-3:3". Lineage: Eukaryota; Metazoa; Chordata; Mammalia; Primates; Hominidae. The record is from RNAcentral.
GGCUGGGUCGGGCUGCCCGGGCGACGCCGGAGUUGCAGUUGGAGGCUGCGGGAAUACAAAGGGUCUUGCUCUGUCACCCAGGCUGGAGUUCAGUGGCCCAUCCAUAGCUCACUGCAGCCUCGACCUCCUGGGCUUCAAAGUGAUCCUCCUGCCUCAGCCUGCCAAGCAGCUAGGACUCUUUGCAGAUGGUAUUAAGAAACAGGGCAUCUGUGUCUCCCUGUGGAAAAACCCAGGCUCUUCUGGAACUGUGGGCUCCUUGUGUUGCUGUCAUGUAAUCAAGAAGCUAGAGGUAGCAGAACCCAAUCCUUACACCCAAAACACUAGCCAAGGGCAUCUUUCUCUCUUGCAUCUAGCUAUGACUCCAAAAGAGAAGAGCAAAUGGUCGCUACAUGCAAAACAAGUUGCCAACCACCAUAGGUUUUGUCUUUCAAAUUAUCAAAUAUAUGUAUACAUACUGAGACAGAGUUUCACUCUUGUUGCCCAGGCUACAGUGCAAUGGUGUGAUUUCAGCUCACUGCAACCUCCACCUCCCAGGUUCAAGCGAUUCUCAUGCCUCAGCCUCCCGAGUAGCUGGGAUUACAGGUGCCCACCACCAUGCAUGGCUAAUUUUUGCAUUUUCAGUAGAGAUGGGGUUUCACCAUGUUAGUCAAGCUGGUCUCGAACUCCUGACUUCAGGUGAUCCACCCAAAAGUGCUGGGAUUACAGGCGUGAGCCACCGCACCCAGCCAAAUUAUCAAAUAUUUUUUAAAAGUGUUAUAUCCAGUUUUCGCAGGGCUACAAUGAGAGAUAUUCUCAUAUACAGUUUGGUGGGAUGUGUGGAGGAAAGAUGGUAAGAAAUAUUUUUGCAUAUUUAUGUGGUAGAAUAUUGUAUGUCCAUUGAAUAUAAAAUUAUAGAAGAAUAUUUAAUGUAAUGGGAAAUAUUCAUGUGAAAUGAAAAAGCAGAUUAUAAAAUAGCAUCUCUAGUAUAUUUUUGUUAAAAUUAUAAAAAUUGUCAGUAAUAUAUAGAUGGAUUCUACACAUUUAUAACAGUUUUAGUAUCAGGUGGUUUUUAAAUUUUAUUUGUGUUUUUGUAUUUUCCAAAUUUUCUACAAUGACUAUGGUAUUUUUUUUAAGAGAUGGAGUCUCACUCUGAUGCCCAGGCUGAAGUGUAAUGGUAUGAUCAUGGCUUACUGUCGCCUCAAAUUCCCAGGCUCAAGUGAUCCUUCCACCUCAGCCUCUUGAGUAGCUGGGCCUACAGGCACAUGCCAUUACCCUUGGCAAUUUUAUUUUUGGUAGAGACAGAGUUUUGCCGUGUUGCCCAGGCUGGUCUCAAACUCCUGAGCUCAAGUGAUACUCCUGCCUUGGCCUCCCAAAGUGCUAGGAGUAUAGGCAUGAGCCACCACACUUGGUCUAGUAUUGCUUUUGAUUUCACACUAAAAAACAUAACAAGAGAGCAUGCUUGACUUCUGGCAAACCCUAAUCCCAGGAGAAUAUUCUACUUGUAUGCUUUCUUUUAUAUAAAUAAAUGCUGUCCUGGUUGCAUUUAGAAUCCAUACAUUCAUUCAUUCAUUUGUUCAUUAAUUCAGCAAAUAUUAGUUUAGCUCUUACUUUGUACCGGAACAUCCCUAAAUGCUGGGAAUAGUGAGGGAAACAAGGUAAAGUCCUUGCUCUUUUGGAGCUGGUGUUUUAGUUAGGGAAGGCAGUCAACAAACAGGAAGACAAACAAGUGAGACAGUGUUUGAUAGUGUCAGGUGUUCUGAAGAAAAUAAAACAGGGUGAUAGCAUGAGAGGGAGCAAACAGGUAGAUUGGAGGAAUUACUCAGAAUUAGGCACUGAGGGAAGACCUUCCAAGGAGCUGAAAUUUGAGCUAAAACUUAAAGAAAAGAAACAGCCAUACAAAGACCAGAGAGAAGACCCUCCUGGGUGGGGGAAACAGCUCUUGCAAAGGUCCUUGAGAUUGCCAUGAGCUCAGCCUAUUCAAGGGAGAACGGGAAACAGUCUGAGGGGUGGGCAGGAGGCAAAGCAAGAAGGGCUUCAUAGGCCAGAGGAAGGAGCUGAGAUUUUAACAUAAGUAGAUCUGAGCUCCACUUACCAAAAUAAUCCCCUGGCUACUGUAUGGAAAAUAUGGAUGAGAGGAUGGGGAUAGGAGUGGAAGCAGAGAACCCCUCAGGCGAUAACUGCACAUCCAGUAGACAGAGAUGAGGGGCUGCACAUGGCUUGGGUGGCCAUGGAAAUACAUUUGGGUUAUACUGAAAAGGUUAGGAUUUUACAGAUGAAUUUGACAAUUCAAUAUCUUAUGACCACUGGGCAAUGGGAGAAGUUUGACGGGAAAGGCAAGCAUUUACAAGUCUGACUCUACUAAGAGCCUGUUCUGGAAAGAGAACAUGGCCCCAGGGGACAUAAGACAUGAAGGAUGACCCACGUGGACUGUCAAUCAGCAAGCAGGGGCACGUCCCCAGCCACAGGGUCAGAGUCAGAAGCCCGGUCUAGCCCCAGAGACAAGGGCUGUCAAGGUCCUGAGGGAGCAGAGUGCUGGGGGUCAGGGCGGGGACCAGGGCAGGGACUCAGGAAAGGGAAGGUGGGCAUGAGAGCCAGAGAGCAGGACAGAGCAACAGAGAGAGCAAACUAAGGGCCCAUCCAAAGGGCUGGGCUUGGGCUUCUCAGUUCCCUCCCCAGUAAGGGUACAAUUGGUCCUAGAGCUGGGGUGGGGCCAAGCCUGUAUUUAGGGGCCAAUUUGUUCAGCUAGGCCAAGGUGCUAGGCAGGUACUGAGAAGACCACAGAUCACAAGGGAUGCUCUAUUUUUUAAAUAUGGAUAACCCUUUCCUUAAUAACAAAAUUUCCAGCCUAUGUUCCGAUUAUCAAGUGAGUCAUUCUGAAAACCCUGUUUAUUUCUCUUUCACCCAAAGCAUCUGCCCAUUAUCACAUUUCUAAUGUUGAAGUGGAGAUAUGAGGAUUUUGAAAGUUCCCAAUUGGAUGCCUCUAAAGGAAGUGAGGGCUCUUUCAAGUAAGAAAAACUCAUUUUAUAUUACCUUUUAAGCUAGCUGUUAUUAAUUUUCAAUUUUAUGCUAGAAAUUUGCAACUCACAAAAAGAAAGGAAAAAAGUUAAACCCUGAUUUUAAAUAUCAUUGUUCCCCAUUUUUCAUGUCUCAGUUACCACAUUUAAAAAGAAGAUGGCACCAUUUGUCCAAGGAAUCUCAUUACUGGGUAUAUGCCCAAAGGAAUAUAAAUCAUUCUAUUAUAAAGAUACAAGCAAGUGUGUGUUCAUUGCGGCACUAUUCACAAUAGCAAAAAAUCAACCCAAAUCCCCAUCAAUGAGAGACUGGAUUAAAAAAAGUGGUACAUAUAUACCAUGGAAUACUAUGCAGCCAUAAAAAAGAACAAGAUCAUGUCCUUUGGAGGGACAUGGAGGGAGCUGGAAGCCAUUAGCUUCAGAAAACUAACACGGGAACAGAAAACCACACACCAAAUGUUCUCACUUGUAAGUGGGAGUUGAACAAUGAGAACACAUGGACACAGAGAGGGGAACAACACACACUGGGGCCUGUCAGCAGGGGGUCGGGGGAGGGAGAGCGUCAGGAUAAAUAGCUAAUGUAUGUAGGGCUUAAUACCUAGGUGAGGUAAUAAGAUGAUAGGUGCAGCAAACCACCAUGGCACACGUCUACCUAUGUAACAAACAUGCACGUUCUGUACAUGUAUCCUGGAACUUAAAAUUUUCUAAAAAAGUAAAAUAAAACUGUCUUUCAUAGAAUAAAAAGCAAGAAAGAAGAUGGCUAUACCUUUUGCUUUCAAAAGCAAUGACCAAUGAUCUAAAACCAUGUAAAUAAGAGCAGUAGCAAUCUGGAGAAAGAAUUAUUAAAGAACAAUCAGAGUGGAGAAGAAACUCAGAAAUAAUCUCAUCAUGUGUUACAGAAGAGAAAAUAAGAUCUAGGUCAUAUCAAUGUCCAGCACGUGCCAGAUAAGAAGUAAAUGUUAAUCAAGUGAACAAAUGAAUGAACAAAGCUUGGCCCUCUCAUUCUCUGUCCAAUGCUCUUCCCGCCACCAGAGAAUCCCCACUAAUAUUGUAUUCGGUGUCCACUCAAGUGCAGUCCAGCACCUGUGUAUAUUGGAGACUUAGGGGUCACCAUACGAUGCUUAAAUGAGAGUGACACAGCACCUACCCAAUAGCUUGGCAAAAGCCCUGACUGUGUUUGGGUGACUCACCCUGGUUUACCAGAGUGAUAGACCAAAAGCAUGUAAAAUGGCAUGUCACCACCAUAACUAGAGCAGACAGUUCUCACAUCUAUUUUGGAAUCUAGGGCUUUGGCAUGAACAGAGAUUUCAGAGUUUCAAAAACAUAUCACCCCCGCCCCUUUUCGUUUUGGUAGACUCAUCUUCAAGAUCUAGAGCAGCUGUUUCCA